RNAcentral lists this ribosomal RNA (483 nucleotides) under uncultured Sulfurihydrogenibium sp. Its description in RNAcentral is "bacterial SSU rRNA". It matches the Rfam family "Bacterial small subunit ribosomal RNA", at positions 29 to 530 of the family's 1533-position model. The record is from RNAcentral. Lineage: Bacteria; Pseudomonadati; Aquificota; Aquificia; Aquificales; Hydrogenothermaceae.
CGCGAACGUUGGCGGCGUGCCUAACACAUGCAAGUCGUGGGGCAGCAGGCUACUACCUUCGGGUAGUAGUGCUGGCGACCGGCAAACGGGUGAGUAACACGUAGCUUACCUACCCAUAGGUUGGGGAUAACAUCCCGAAAGGGGUGCUAAUACCCAAUAAUGAGGAGACUCCAAAGCCCUUUUGGGCGCCUAUGGAUGGGGCUGCGUCCCAUCAGCUAGUUGGUGAGGUAAUGGCUCACCAAGGCUACGACGGGUAACCGGUCUGAGAGGAUGACCGGUCACAGUGGGACUGAGACACGGCCCGCACCCCUACGGGGGGCAGCAGUGGGGAAUAUUGGGCAAUGGCCGAAAGGCUGACCCAGCAACGCCGCGUGGUGGAUGAAGCCCUUCGGGGUGUAAACACCUUUUCUGGGGGAAGAUAAUGACGGUACCCCAGGAAUAAGGGACGGCUAACUACGUGCCAGCAGCCGCGGUAAUACGUAG